CUCUGUCUCUCAAAAAUAAACAAACAUUAAUAAAAAUAAUUAAAAAUAAAAGUUAGUAAUUUUUUUCAAGCCUCACAAGGAAGCCUGUGAAUGUAAAACUCGAAAGGUCUUUGGGAAGGAGAAAGAUCUGAAUUCAAAGUAGGACUGUUCUUUAGGGUGACUCACGGGAUUAGCCUGGGUUGAAUUUGUGUCCCACCUCCCUCCCAUCUUCUAGCCACCUUGUCAUUUUUUUCUCUCGCACACUGACAUGUGAACACAACAGAAGCUAACUAGAGAUUUAACUUUCAUUUUGGUAUAAAACAGACUGGUGCAGACAGGCCUCAAGAUAACAGGAUUGGGGAGAAAGACACUACACUACGUCAUGUAAACAAGAAUGUUGCCAGCGCGGCUCCAGUUUGACACCUCUCAGGCCGUCAGUUUGAUGCCAGGCUUUCAUAAUUUGUAGAAACAGUAAAGGCAGUCAUUUUAGUGAAUGGCUUUGCUUGAAUUUUUGUUGAUACAUGCAUUUGUAGAGCAUAGUAAACGCCUUUAUUCUGGUGCCUAUGUGCACUUCCCUCAAAGACCGGAGGGAAGAGCAUCGGGGAUGAUGGGAAGGAAAUGGCAGUAAUUGGGUGAACAAACAGAUGGAGGAGGGACGGCGAGUGCAUUUGGUGUUUUAGGUGGCCCCGAGGAGUAUUGAAUUUCUUAUUCUUCUCCCCUACAGCCCCAAUACAAGCAGGCAGCUUACACGGCUAAGGUUUCAUUAUCUAAUCCAUCACAGAUCAGCUUGAAUAAACCCAUUGGCUGGUGCUGAUCUAGUUAGGAGGGCAGUGCAAAGCUGCUUGAGCCAGGAUUGGGGCAAAUCGGAUCAGAACAGCCAUGUGAAUCUUGGGCAUAUUUCUUUAAUUUGGGUGGGUAAAGUAGUUUGGGAAAUACUUGAGAGAGCGAGAGAGAGAGAGCGCGAGCGCGCGCGCACGAGUGAGCAAUCAGCCAUGAGUUUUUUUCAGAUAUUGUAGGGACUCUAAGGGGCAAGUGUACGGACGAUUUGAUCUAUUUCUCUGGAGUGUAGGCAGGUUGCUUUGAUUUUUUGAGUCUGAACAUUUUUGGGUCACUAAUGCUCAGUAGUAAUCUUUUGUAGCAGCAUUUGGAGAUUCCAGUUGCGAUCACUUAAUUAUGACUACUCUGAGCGAACCCUUAAUCCGAGACUGUACGAUAUGGGUCCUCUCUCAGUUUAAAAGGGGAGAUACCGUGGCUAUCACUAUUGUGAUGACCAACCUUAAUGUCUAUAAUUACGUUUGUUAUCCACGUAUAGUUGAAGUAUGGGGUAGUAAAAGAAACACGAUUUAGAAUUUCUCAUUUUGGGUUUGACUCCUGGCUUUUCCACUUAGCAGAUGAAUGACCUUUGGCAAGAUGUUUAGUGUCUGAGCUCCUGAUUACACAUCUGUGACCUGGGAAAAUUAAUACAUACUCUAAUGAGCGGCAGUAAUGAGUAACUGAGAUGAUUUAGAGUGCCUAUCAUGGAGCCCAGCAGUAACUGUUUAUUCCCUGCCUCCCUCAUAGCCUGCUGCACGACACUCCUUGAGUUCCUGCUUAGUGCUUGAUCAGCACGGAGUGGUUAAUGCGUUUCCGAUUGAUUAAGUGUCAGAGUUGGGGACUACUAGAGAUGAGCAGUGUGUUAAACUGAAUUGCUGCUUGUCAUGUGGGUGGAGGACGUGAAUGGGCCUGGUUGGUUAUCACAGGCUCUCUGGUCAGAGGAGAAGGAGACAUUUGCUUCUUUGCUAAGCACUAACAGGGCUGCUGAGGUAUCACACUGCCUGCAUUGAGCAGUGGACGUUUCAUGGAACCUGUGAGGUCCCGACUGGGAAUGUGCGUGACAGAUAUGCUGGCCGUUUGGGUGGUGAAAAUAUCGUUUGUGUUUCCAGUGUUGUAAGGUUUGCUGGUCAGAUAUAUGACCUCAAAUGGAUGGUGCUUUUUGUUCUUAUUCUGGUUUGUGGAAAUUGAGAUGGAAAGCCUUUGUCUCUUGUGGUGUCUCUCUGGCCUCUUCAAGCCUGCCCUGCAGACUAUGAAGAGUCAUCCACCUAAAAGAGCUUAACAACACUUGAUGGUUUGUCUUUGUCUUCUGGGUAGAGUCCGGUCUCUCAUUUGGCCUCCUCCUGGCCUGACUUGUGCUGGUCUUUGUAAACUCAUCUCAUUUUUACAGUCUACCUCUUGAGUCUUGUUAGGGGGCUAAUAGUUUCCUGAGCGCCAUGCGGGCUCAUUCGUUCUUCUGUGCUUUUGUUUCCGGUUUUCCCGGCUGAAAUUCCUGCCUCGACAUCUCUCUCUCAUCUGUAAGGCUCAGUCUUCAAGAAUCAGCUGGGCUGUGGACUCCCCCUGGAUGCUUUUUGUGUCUGCUCCCAUCCCUCCCACAUUCCUGCUGGUUUCUAAAACACUGUGUCCAUAGCUGUGUGUUAGGAUUUUUUUGCUUUACCAUUUGUUUAAAUGUCUGCUCCUGCACCCCUUCCCAGACUGUGAGACCAGGGGAUCCUUUGGGAUCCCUAGGAUUUAGCACUGGGCCUGGGCCCCAGUAGUCAAGAAACUGUGGUUCUUGGUGAAUUGAACCUUGUCUCUCUGCUCCUCAGUGGGGCCUGCAGAUGGCUUUAAUUGUUUCUCCAGAUUUUCCCUGGGGGGCCUGGCCCUCGGUCUGCUUUCCUGAUCCUGUGAAGACUGGGUGUUGUGGGAUUUGUGAAUGGUACCUGAUCUUUCCAUUGAUAUCGGGGUUAAAGGUGAGAAAGGGUCUUUGAAAACAGAAGCUGGGGUGGAAUUUAACUGUUGAAUGUGUUGGGUGGGCAUGGCAACCAAAUGUUUAGUUUCCUGUGCUCAGAUAUUAAUUGAGUGCACGUGUGUAUGUGUAAAAAGCGCCUUUGUGAUGGUGUGGUGAAUGAAAAGAGAGGAACCGCACAAGCAAGGGGCAAUUAGAGCUAACCUGUUCCAGUUCAUUGGAGCAGUCUGUUGAUCUGCCUUUUACAGUGCUGCCGAGAGAUUCUGGAGUGUUGCAGUUCGAGGAUAUUACCACCAUUUGGGACUAGGCCCAUUUGAUCAACUUUCUCUUCUCAACCAAUGAAUUUCAUGAGCUGUUACAGCUUCUUUUGUGGAUACGGGAAAAAUACCAAGCUGAGACACCUCACAGAAUACAUGCUGUUUUUUCAGAUCACGCACUGGAUAUGCUUGCAAAUGAGGAAGCUUGAUACAGUUCUUUUCAACCGCAGCCUUGGAAAUAGAUUCAUAGAUGUAUUUUACAGGAAUCCUCUCUCCUUGGCCCUUGUUCUCCCCGCCUCCUUGCCUCUCGGCUAAUGAUUUGUGCUCCUAUAUAAUCCUCGUCUGUUUUCCAGCCUCGAGACUUCCCUUACUAGUUUAGUUGGGGCCCCUUUAAAGGCGAUUGGGUAUAUAUACUUUGUAGUGCCUCUGGCUUCUGGCUUCUGCUUCAAUAAAGCAGGUUCUAAGAAGGGAAUGAGAGAGAGAGAGCAGCCAGUAAUAUCACUUGCUUCUGACGUGUCCUGUACAUACGUGGCAUCUAGAAAUUUUCAGCUGAGGAUUCAAGGCACAGGACACAUGGUAAAUACCACUUCUGAAGCAGAUGACAAUUUUGAGUUGCCAAAUGAUAAUGGUUGAGUAACUGCUUAAAAACCUAUUUUCCCAAGGGUGGAAACGGCCUUUGAAGUUUAGGUUUCCACAAGGGUGUGUUCAACCAUAAUACUUGGGGUUUUUUUUUGGGACCUGAGUCCUCAGAUAAUACCUUGGUAUGUGGGAUUUUUCCCAUGCGAAGGCUGGCUCCUUGGUUUCUCCUUUGCUGAGGAAAAGAGAUUUUGCACUGAGUAUUGGAUGUUUUAUUCCAGGCAUGUGGUUUCUGAGGAGGCAUACUGUUUAUUUUUCUUUUUUGGCUGAAUCAAUUUUGUUGAAUCUUAAUUUUUUUUUUAUUAAAAAAUUUUUUUUUAACAUUUAUUCUUGAGAGACAGAGAGAGAGAGACAGAGCGUGAGUGGAGGAGGGGCAGAGAGAGAAGGAGACACAGAGUCUGAAGCAGGCUCUAGGCUCUGAGCUGUCAGCACAGAGCUGGAUGCGGGGCUCGAACCCACGAACCGUGAGAUCAUGACUGGAACUGUAGUCGGACACUUAUCCAACUGAGCCACCCAGGCGCCCCAGAUAAGUUUAUGUAUUUAUUUUUGAGAGAGAAUGCAUGCGUGGGAAGGGCAGAGAGAGAGAGAGAGAGAGAGAGAGAGAGAGAGAGAGGAGACAGAAUCCCAAGCAGGCUCUGCAUUGCUAGUGUGGAGCCCAUUGCUGGCCUCAAACUCCUGAGCCGUGAGAUCAUGACCCAAGCCAAAAUCAAGAGUUGGACAUUCAAGUGACUGAGCCACCCAGGCGCCCCUGUGGGAUCAUCAUUGUAAAUGUCACAGCAAAGCAUGAUUUAUCAUGAAGGAUGGGCAGGGGGACUCUCUCAGUGAUGGGGCUUUGUGUGGGCAGGGCAGACACGGUACCGGUCCAAUUAGAGGAACUGCAGACCUGGUCUGGGGGCACUGUGGGGGCUGGAACAUGGGCUGUGGCUCCUGCUUCUUUUGGAACACUUUUGGAACAGAGACUCAUGGGAAGUUCUUCCAUUUGCUUUAGUUUGAGCAGCUUUUUCCUCUGCACAUUGGCAGCUGUUUGGAGGAGGGGGCGUUAAUUGCUGUCCGCCAGAGUGAUUUCCAAAACAGACCUAUAUAGAUUUCAUUUAGGGAUUUAUUUCAGGGGUAGGUGGUUUGUCCUGAGUCAGGAGGACUUUGGUUGCAUUUUCCUGGAAGUUGGUGGGCUUCCAUGAGCCUGCUCUAUUUAUCUUGGACCGUUAGGCGAGUAGAAAAGCAGCUGCAUAGUUAGCCCUUGUGUGGAGCUUAGUUUCAUAGGUCAUUCUCUCUUGGGGAUUUUUAUACGGUCACAUUUACAGCCUGAAGUUUUUUUUUCCUUUUCUUCCCUUCUGCAGCUCAGUGCUCUGCAGAAAUUCUGAGGAGGGUGGAUAAUAAUUUUGGGUAAAAAGCAAGAAUUGUUUAGCUUCCUCCCUUCUUUUUGUUUCUUUACUAGCUCCCCCUCCCGCCGCCCAUCCUUUGCAAAAGAGUCUGCAAAUGAGGUCGCUUAUCCCUUAAUCGGACUGUCUUGUCCCCUAACACUCUGAAUAUGUGGCUUUGACAGCUUUCACCUGCUAUUUCAAAGCAAAAACUGGCAAAAUUGGAAGAUGUUUUGUGGUGGCUCCCAGCAUCCACAAAGCGUAACUCAUUGGUUUGCACCUCAUACAAACUUGCAGGAGUACCGUCACCGUCAAUAGCUGGCACAAUGGGUUUGAGGACUUUGUUGGAACUUCAGGAAGUCUCCACAAUGGCUGCUUCUCACAGUGGGAGCUUUGGCAGGGCUUACCGGGAGUUGGUAGUGCUUGUUUUGAAAGUAGGAGUCUGGUCCUAUCCCGCUGGAUGUCUCUGUGAGAAGGGCAGGGGCAGAUUUGUUUGAAAAAGGGAGAGUGGGGCUCUGUAGCUGUCACUUAUGUGGUCCAUUUUAUAGAUGUCUGUGUUUGCUCCACUGACACACGAAUUUUACUGCAUGUUUUGUAUGUUGUAUUCAUACUUGAAGCCAUAGUCUGACUUGUGACUUUCAAGAAGUUGAUUUGACUAAUUUUGGUAUUAAAAAAAUUUUUUUUAAUGUUUAUUUUUGAGGGGGGGGGGAGGGGCAGAGAGAGAGAGGGAGACAUAGAAUCUGAAGCAGGCUCCAGGCUCUGAGCUGUCAGCCCAGAGCCCGAUGACAAUGACGGGGGCCUUGAACCCACAAACGGUGAGAUCAUGACCUGAACCAAAGUUGGACGCUUAACCGACUGAGCCACCCAGGUGUCCCCGAUUUGGCUAAUUUUGAUAGCAUCUCGGACUUUAAAGUGAAGGUGGUCAUAUUUAAAAGUUCCAUGUGGGGGCUUAGAAGUUACUAUUUCUGUUGGCUCUUCCCUCCCCAUCCCCAGCUGCUGCUGCUUUUAUGCAUCAUAGACACUUUUUUUUUUUGUUUUGUUUUUGUUCCUCUGCUUGGUGUUAUAGGUCUCUCGCCUCUUGUUGUGAUUCCAAAUAGAUCUUUUUGCUGCAACAUUGUGGCUUUGAUCUGGCUGUUUUACCGUGUUGUAGAUCAAUUGGUUAACUUUGGCAUUUUGCAUACAUACAACAGAAAUCUUUUAGAAAGGUGCUUUUCACUGACCAUUAGUGAUUUUUGUCAGCUGUGUAAAAAUGCUGUGAUUAACAGAUACACGUGUAUCUGUGUGCUUGUGUGCUUUUCCUUUAUGCUUACUUUACAUUUCUGUUUCUCUCUCUAGGAGUGGUUGGGACUGAGUGCUAUCCGGUAGGCUUUGCUUUUUAAUCCUGGCAAGCCCGUCUCACGAAACGUUUGCAUUUGAUUUUCUUGGGCUGUGUGGGGAUCAUUUACCCCUAUUGGAUUUUAGCUUCACUGUGGAUUCUUUUUUGCAGUGUUACUUUUAGGCAAAUAGUAAAUACUUGUUUGGUUUCACAGUAUCCCAGAGUUUGAAGAAAUCCACAAAAUUUGUCACACAUACUUUGUUUAAAAAAAAAAAAAAAGUAUCAAUUCUGAUACAAGAAAAAAUACCUCACUGGUCCAGCAUCCUGUUUAGGCAAGGAAAUUGUCUAAUUCAGAGUAUUCCAAGCUGUUUUCCAUUUAUUGCUCUUUGAGACAUGGUAAGAGGUAUCAUUCUUCUGAGAACAGAAAAAUCAAAUAACUUUGGACUAGCGUUAAGCAAAAUUUGAACUAUUGCAUUUUACAUUUCAUAAGCAGAUGUAACUCUCAAUUUAUAAAAAUGCACUUAAUGAAGUAUCUCUUUCUCCGCCGGGUUCCCCAAGUACUCCGUACCCCUUCACUAAACCUCUAAUCCCCGACGUUCAUCACUUGCAUUAUUCCUCUCCUUUUUUCCCCCCAGAUGUUAGCAAACUCUACACGCUUUUCCAUGCUACUGUUUUCAAUGACUAUAUCAGAAGUUAAUUUUUUUUAAAGAUUCCUUUAUUUUUAAGUAAUCUCUACACCCAAUGUGGCUUGAACUCACAGCCCCAAGAGCAAGAGUUGCAUGCUCUACCAGCUGAGUAUGGCUCUACCAGCCAGGUGCUCUAAGGUUACAUUUUUUUUUCUUUUUUAAAUUUCAUUAUUUUGAGAGAGAGACCAAGAGAGAACGCAUAUGUGAGCAGGGGAGAGGAAGAGAGGGAAGGAGAGAGAGCAUCCCAGCUCUGGGCUCUAUCUCGUGAACUGCAAGAUCAUGACCUGAGCCGAAAUCAAGAUUUGGAUGCUUAACCGAUUGAGCUAGCCAGGCACCCCUAUUUUUUGUUUGUUUGUUUAAUGUAAACGAGGUCUACUAAUGUUUUCGUGAAUGGGUUCUGUGUAUGUGUGUGUGUGUGUGUGGGUGGGUGUGUGUGUGAGUGUGAGUGAUGCUUUGAAAAGUUUUUCCCACUCCCAAGAUUAUUAAAAGUAGAGUGGGCUUGCAGAACGACAGAGCUGAGUUGGAGCCCUAGCUUUUCCAUAUCACAGCUGUAUGAUAUUGGCUAAAUGACUUAACCUUUUCUUCCCUUGUGAAAUAUACUAUAGGAUUAGUGUAAGAAUGGAAAGAGGUAAUAUACAUCAUAUGCUUUUUAGUUCAGGGCCUGACACAUAAUAGGUAUUAUGUAAUAGCCAUUUUUAUUAUAAUUACCAAGCCCUAUUUUCUUGUACCCCAGUUGUGUUUCGACUUUCUUAAAAAUCUUUAAAAAGAUGUUUAUUUGUUUCUGAGAGAGAAAGAGACCAUGCACACCAGCGGGGGUGGGGCAGAGUGAGAGGAGGACAGAGGAUCUGAAGCGGGCUCUGUGCUGAUGGCAGAGAGCACGGUGCGGGGCUCGAACUCAUGGACCGUGAGACCAUGACCGGACCCGAAGCUGGAUGCUUAACCAACUGACCCACCCCGGUGCCCCUGUCUUUUGACUUCUUUAAAGGUCUCUUAAUCUUUGUAUCCUUGGCUUCUACAUAAGUGUCUGAGAGAUACUGUAAUAAGAACCUGGUAAACGUUUGUUGAAAAAAAUCAGCCGUUAUGUGACUUGUUUGUAAAAAUCUCUGUAAUAAUUUUGUUGCUACAAAAUUACUGCCACAACAACCCCACAAGAUAGGUGGUUCUUUUUCCUAUUUUUCAGACGGUAAAAAUACACUUCUCUAAGCCUCAGGACUAGGAAGCAACAAAACUGGUGCUUCUACCCGAUCUUGUGGCUCUUUAUUCAGUGCCUUUUCCUUUGGGUCUCGUGCCCCUCAGGCCAAAGGGUAUGACUGAGAAGGAAUGGAGUGAAUAGCGAACGUGAACUUCACGUGACAUAUAUUUACUAUUGAAAACGUUUUGUCAGGGCACCUGGCUGGCGCAGUCAUUUACGCUCAGGUCACGAUCUCACACUUCGUGAAUUCAGACCCAGAGACGGGCUCUCUGCUGUCCGCACAGGGCUGGCUUCAGAUCCUCGGUGCCCCCCUCUCGCUGCCUCUUCCCCGCCGCGUGUACUUGCUGGCUUGCUUGUUCUUUCUCUCUCAAAAAUAAACAUUAAAAAAAAAGUUUUGUCCGUUACCUAACAGUUGAUUCAUGUAGAAGUCAACAGCGACCCCCAGUUUCUUUCUGCAAUAAUUUGGAUCUAGCCAGUGUUUUGAAUUGGGAUUUUGCUAAAAUUUAGUGUGUACUUUAUACGCCAAGCAUCGUAUUACAGACUUUAUGUGUUUAUUUCACUUUCCUGUAGUUCAUAUUUGGAGGGGUUAAAUGAGAUUAUUCGUUGCCGUAUGUAUGGUAGUUUGUUAUUGUUAUUAUUAUUUUUUUGCCUCAAAGUUUUCCCAUCUCUAAUUUUAUUAUUGAUCUGAUAGAUCAGCAGUAGAUAAAUCAAUGGAUUGGUAAUGGUGGGUAGUAUGAAAUGAUGAGAGCUGAAGUCAUCUAGAAGUUAUCUGGCCAGCUCCCUGCUUAAAUCAAGUAAGGGAGGUGAUGUACUCGUUUUCAGGGACAAGUUAUUUCGGUCUCCGAGAGCAGAUGGGAGGACAAGCAAUAAACUCAAACUUUUGGCUUUAGGUCUAAGUAGAAUCUUUCAUUUCUUAGUCUUUUUUACUAUUCUGGUAUUUUCUCUGAAAGUUUCUUAUAUGGGGUUCCCCCGUCCCCCUGCUUUUCAUUGAUUUUUUAAAGCAUGUGACAUACUCACAUGGUGAAUGGUUCAAAAUACGCAAAAGAGUAAAAAGUCUCUGCCUUCUCCCAACUUUCUAGUUUUCUCCUUGGAGGUAACCAGAAUGGUUAGUUGUCUGGAUAUCCUUCCACAGAUCGUAGUUACAUAAUAUUUUCUCUACCUCCUUCUAAAAAAAAAAGCUCAGAUGGUGAUAUUAAUAUGCAUACUAUCUGUAUAUACUACAUGUAUUUGGCUUUUUUUCCUGUCUCUCUUUGGAAAUCAUAGCAGUGUGUAGAUAUUUUUUGUUAGAUUUCUGCAGUUAGGAUUAUUCUCUUGUGGGCUGCUGAGAUAACUAUACCUAAACGUCUCUGGUAAGGAUGACUCUGAUUAGUACAGGAUCUCAUAAAAUGUGAGUCUGUUUCAUGGAAUCACAGGGUCAGAGACUUACUCUUUUUUUUUUUUUUUUUUUAACAUUUCAUGUUUUUGUUUUCGGAGACCUGAUCUGCAUCUGUGUUCUUUCACUUGAAUACCCUACAAGUCCCUGGCCGAUGAUAGCAUUUUAAAGAUGUUUGAGUAAAAGGUAGGCCUCCUCAGCUCUCCACCUGCUCCAGUCAGCUGCUCCUGAUCCCGUCUUUUUACACCCUAGAGGCCCUUUUUGGGUCAGAUACCCCAUUUGUCAUUGAGUUAGUAAUGAUACUCAGGAUCUGCCUUGAGUCAUUGCACACAGAAUCUAACUGCAGUGUGAUUUUAUUCAGUGUGACAUCUUCUGUACCAGGCAUAUCCAAAAUGUCCAGUUUAUCCUGAUUGAAUGUCAUUGCUGUCAGGAGGCUGGUCAGUGAGCCAAGUUUGGUAUGGAAUUGGGAGAAAGGGAGGUUUGGUUCCUGGUAGGUGUUUGUGUCUCAGCAGUCACAAUGGCCAUUAGUUUCACUUAGCCCCUGUGUUUGUGGAAAGCCUGGGAUUGAGUGAAUGCUCUUCAUCCUUAGGAGAUGGCCGCUCUGCCACUGAGACUUGACGGGAAGUAAAUAGAUAUGGUUCAACAAACAGAGUAUUUUUCUUUUGUUUACCAGACAGUGGAUUCUGAUUCAGACGUAGCAUCAAGGAUUUCACGCUUAGGCUUGACUCUAGCUCAGUUGACCUUUAGAGACUUCUGCACUUAAGGCUAGGAAUCUGUGCUUUUUUUCAGAGUUAGCUUCUGCGAUGGACCUUUGUCUCCACAAGAGUGUUAUUACAGAGGAGGUAGCGUUCUAGCUGUUGGGCGAAUGAGGCCAGUGGAGACGUGUGUUGCCCUCUAGGUGAAUGCUGACGUCCAGUACAUGGUGAUGCUGCUCUCACCGCACAAUCUUUAUGGUCCCAGGGCUUUGCAGCAAGUGAGUUAGGCCCACUCGGUCUCUGGCCCCACGCAGUGAAUGGAAGCAGGCAGGGCACCAGAUGCUGGGUUGUUGCCCCUCUCGCUUCUUCCUUCACACCUGGUAUAAGGUUUCCAGGCAUUUGUGCAACCUGAUAGCAGAAAGCGCCUGUCUUAGCAGUUGAGAGAUGGGUUGGCAGGUGGCUCAAGUUACUCCACGUUCCCGAUAAGAGCCACUGAUCCAUGCUGGUGGCUGCUGGGGGCGGGGGCGGGGGUGGGAGCUGUACUGCCGGUGCCCUGCCCAGCAGGAACGGUGGUGGGUCCGUCUGGUGUGUCAGGACUCCCGUGAAUGUGCCCAAAGCAGUUCGAGAGGUCUGGCCGGCAUAUCUAGGGAAGCAGCAAACUAUUGGAGAAGCAGAUCUUGCCUUAGAGGAGAUGGGUCUUAGGGAAUGGUGGCACACAGGGGCAGAAGAGGUACCAACCUUGAAAAUACGAAAUACAAGCCCAAGGAAUAGGAAUCACAUUUUAUUAUUGGAUGUCUUAAGUCGAAACCCAGCGAAAGACUUUAUUGAGUGAGGUUGUGCCAGGCACAGUGAUGGCUAAGACGUGAAUUUGCAGCGGGGAAGAGGAUGUGUGCACAGAUGCUUUUCACACCACGUGAUCAUUGCUCUGACAGAGGUAUACGCGGAGUAUGUGUCAAAGCCUAGUACUUGGUGGCAGGUACUCCAGAGCAGUUGUCACACCGUAUUAAAAUAUCGGGUUAAAAGGAGCCAUUCUGGUAUCAGACUGCUUAGGUUCCGACUGUCUCUAUGCCUACUUACCUGUGUGUCCCUUGAGCAAGUUACGUACCUCCUCAGUGCUUCAGUCGUUCGUCUGUGAAAUAGGAAAACUAGUUUGUACCUGGCGACAUUGUUGUGAAUAUCGAGGUAGUAUAGGGAAACGUGUUUGGAGGGGCGCCUGGCCCGUGGUAACCACCGUACGUGUUACCCGUUGUUACGGUGGUUGACGUAGCGCCAGGCAGGGGCACCAGAGACCAUGGCAGACACAUGCUGACCCGUGGCAGUGCGGAGUCCGGUAUUUAUUGUGUUCCCUGAAAGAUUGUUAGCAUUAACUAUGCCAGGUACUGUACGGAAGAAAAUGAGUGAAACGUUAACCAUCUGUGUCGCUGUGUACGAUACACGAUGUGAGUCAAGGUUUUGGAAAGGUGUGUAAAAAAUAUAUAUAUACUAACACGAGAAGCUUCAGUGUCCCAUGGCAGUUUCAGAGAGAGAAUCUUCCUGUUCGUUUGGGAGUCGCAUUGGAGGCCCUUCUGCUUUCUUGACACUCUGAAGAUAGGCUGUCUAUCUUUAAGGUGGGACAGUACUUUAUUUCGGACAAGUAUUUCUUGCUUUUUAAAAACCUCUAGGAGAAACCAUCAUUUGGUUUGGAGAAAAACCAUUUUAGAUCAGAAUCCACCCAUCUAUCCAUCCAUUCCUAUCCCCCUCCCCCUUACAAAGGGGAAACAUUACUAAUGUUUAAACCCCUUCCUCAUUCCUUAUAUUAAAAGUAAACCUCUCAUCGUGCAAAAGCCCCUAUUCUUUUUUUUUUUUUAAAGUGAUCUCUAUGUCCAACAUGGGGCUAGAACUCACCACCCUGAGAUCAAGAAGACUUGCACGCUCAACUGACUGAGCCAGCCAGGCGCCCCCAAAGCCCCUGCUCUUUUGCUUGGUCAUUCAUUCACCUCACAACAUGUGAGUGCUUACAACAUGCAAGACCCUGGGGGGUACAGAGUUAAUCAAAGGGAAGGUAUUAUGGAAUCUGUGAAGUUUAUUGUGGGAGGUGUCUGGAACAGCUGUCCGUUGGAAUAAAAGUUUGGUACACGAUGUAUCGCUAAGGGUGUAGGUAGAGAAAUGGGUCCUCAUGUUGCUGGUGUGGUGAAAAGCCGCAUACCCUCCAUGAAAAGCUGUCUAGCAAUAUCUACUGAACUGUAAAACGCACAUAUUCUUUGACUCAGCAGCUCCCUUUCUAGGAAUUCAUCCAGUAGAUAUUUCUGCAUCUGCGUGCAGGGAAAUACAUUACAACAUUACUUGAACUGGCAAAUGGUUGAACAAGGCAGAACACUCUUCGACAGGAAAUCAGUGAACUAAAAUAAGAUACAUUCACGGGAUGGAAUAUCACGCGGCCGUUACAAAGGGUCAGACAGCUCCAUAUGAACAAACAGAGAAGACUCUGAAAUACAUCAGGUGUGAAAAUUCACGGUGCAGAAAAGCGGACAGUUUGCUGCCGGUGUGUCACAGAGAAAAGCAUCCGUGCAGGUGCACACAGACUCUUUGCCAGGAAACACAAGAUUGCGGUCACAGGGGUUGCCUCUGGGGAGUGUUCCCGAGUGACGGAGAAGUAGGGGUAUAGGUGGAAGGCUUCUUGUCGUAGCCUUUUAAGUUUUGUGUCAUGUGCUUGUAUUGUUUAAAAAAAUCAAAGUAAUUUAUUAACGUGACGUAGGAAUAAGUACGGGAGCCAUCUUACUCAUCAUAAUGCUUGAAUUUGUCAAUUUUCAUAGGAAAAUGAAUGAAGUCAUGUGUUAGAGCAAAUGUGCCGGUUCUGCUCACCACAAAGAAGAAAAUAGUACUGGGGUGGCACGUGACCAUUUAAAUUCUGUCACAUUGUUCACUGGUACACAGGGUGUUGCCAGUGCUUAUAUUUAUUAUUUACUAUGUUUUAUUAUAUUUAUUAUUAACUGUGUCUUACUCCAUAAGGCUAAAACCUCUGAUUAUUACGAAAAUUCUGAUAUGAAGGGGAGGAUAAGUGUAGAGAUGAUUACAACCGGAAGUAACGUUAGAAAUGGCAGAUACUGACCGUGAGUACGGGAUGAAUUGUGCAAUGAUGCAGAUGAUUAUAACGGGUCGAGAGCAAAUCAUAAAGUGAGUUGAGAAGAAAUGAGACAAGUUGGGACCAUUACCGUAAGCCAGUUUGCUUAAAUAUUUCCUCACUAGAUGCACACCUAUGGGUUACUUGGAUUUUUUCACGUUGGGGUUUUAUGAACUAGCGGACUUAGCAACAGCCUUUCCUCCCAGACCUAACCUGAUGGUAAUAGAGGAGCUUCUGUGCCCUGAUAGGAAUGAGUGCAGUGUUUCUAUGGGAGCAUAAUAGAGGGAUUCUUAUCCGGUUGGGUGGCAUGGGCCCAGGGAGACAUUCUGCAGGAGCUGUUGCUGAGAAUUGAGUGAGUGAGCGAGGGCUAGGCAGGGAAGGGAGAAGGGAGGGCAGGCUCAUCCAGGCAGACGCAGCAGUAGGUGCGAGGGCAAGGGGCGAUAGGAGCUGGGGGUGUCGGAGGUAUCAGUGGGGUCGGAAGAGAGGGCGCGAGGACAUGAAUUUCCCCGUGUCUUCGGUAGGUAGUUCGUCCACAGACUGCAGUCCCCUUGCAGUCUGUACCAUUGUUCUUGACGUUGCCAUAAUGGUGAUGGUGAUUGGAUUAUCCUGCCACUCAAGGAACAUGGCCCCCUGGCAGGGGGAGUAGUGACAAGUCUCUGUUCAUCAAAGAAGAGUAAGAGAGAACAAAGAAAACCUGUAUUUGCUUUUGUUGUAUAUAUGUAGUUGAGCUGUCUUCUAGCAGAAUUCCUUGUUUGUUUUCAGCUGUCUUUAUCCUUGAAGAGGCUUUCUCUCUACUUGGAAUCACAGUUUGAGUGCUGCAUGGAAAACAACUUGAACCUGAUGUUCCCUUACAUUAUAUUUAAAUUUAUGUGAAGCACUUUCGACCUUGCAGGCAUGCAUUUCGCUCUUGCUUGGAAUGCUGUAACAACGAUGUUUUGAUGUUUUGUCCGUCAGAGGCGUUCCAAAAAUUUUAUGAAUGUUAACGUGCUUAAUCUCCCAGUAUUCCAGGGUAGGUGGCAGGUAGGCAGGUGAUUUUUUUUUUUUUUUUACGUAUCUUGUGUGUUAGCACAUUUCGAUUGUUAAUGCCUCUUAAGGAGAAAGUUUCUCCUUUGAAGCUGAAAUAUCCUAUGCUUUGAAUUCACUCAAAAGAAAAAUUACUCCAGAAAGCUUGAACCAAACCUGGUUAGAUGCUUCUGAGUUAUGCGAGAGGGAUUGAAAUAAACUUUUUUAGCUAAAAAUAAUGUUGCUCCCAAGUUACCAAAAAUGGCUGACUAAAAUGCUUUUAAGAUCCUGUGUAAGCCACCAUAAGCUGAAGGUCAAGAAAAAGUUUAGAACAUGUCUUGAGAAACGAUUGGCUGUAUUUUGCCAAAGCUUUUGCCAAGCUUCUUAUUCCAUAAUUAUCUCAUGGGACAAAAGCUGGUGGAAAGUGUUAUGCCUUAGAUUCGGUAGGGUUCUAGAGACUCUUUAAGUAUGCCGCCUGUUUCUUCCGACAGUAACCUUGUACCUGUGGAAGGCAUUAGGGUAGGUGAAAACCGGACAUUGAAUUCUAAAGAUAUUGUACAGCUGCUUAUGCUGAUUAAUUAUUUAAAGCCCUUGUCUCCUGUCACAGAGCAGUUUUGCUCUCGGACAACAUUGGCCAUCUUUCAGAGAGAGCCAAGUGUUGGGUCGUUAGCGUGUGGAAUCGCCACCAGCAUUAGCCUUGUUUAAUUCUAAAACCUCACUGUGCUUUAAUGAUUACCCAGAGGACCCCUCUGCGGCACCCCUCUGCCGUUGGUGGGGACAGCUUGAGGAACUGGAGAGGCAUGUUGACUUUCCUCCUUGGCGUUGCUUAGAAUUGUAGAAUAUUGGGGCGCCUGGGUGGCUCAUCCGGUUAAACGACCGACUCUUGAUUUCGGCUCAGGUCAUGAUCUCAUGGUUGUGAGAUCGAGCCCCAGGUCGGGCCCUGUGCUGAGCUUGCAGCCUGCUUAAGAUUUUCUCCCUCUCUCUCUGCCCCUCCCCUGCGUGCAUGCUCGCUCUCAAAAAAAAAAAAAAAAAAAAAAAAAAAAAAAAAAAAAAAAAUUGUAGAAUAAAAUCUUGAAUUAGAAUGAAAUUUAGAGGUUUUUUUUUUCAUAAAAAUUAUUUUUUUUUUGGUAGAGCCAAUAUAAAGUCAUGACUUUUUCCUUCCUAAAUAGCACACCUAUUUAUUGAGCACUAGAUGUGUAUGAGAGUAUGAGAAGGCUAGGUAACUAAGCUCAUGUCCAAAGACCUCCUUCCUUUUGUUGGGGAAGAAUGGUAGCCUGCAGGCAGCGUGUUGUUUACACUUUGAGGAGAGUAGAGAAAUUUUAGAAGUAGCUGUUCCCGUGUAGUAAGAACUCAUCAACAAUUAGAAUAAAAGGAUCAUAUGGCUCAGUUAAGUGCCAGCUUGGAUUGAGGUGGUCCUAUGGCUUCUUAACUUUAUCGAACCACGCCCAAAAGCCCACAAGGGUAGCCAAGUGCGAAUUACCCUGGGUGGGGCCCAGGGAAGCUGGAACAAACAGGUUCUAGCGCAGUAAAGGGUCGAGAAGACGAAGGACAAAGGACGGGCUUGUGAUACAAAUUUGAGAUCCUGCUGUUAGAAGAGAUUGGGUAGUGAGGAUUCCUAAGGAAUAGUUAUCAGAUGGAUGAUUUUGGUGGAGAAAAGCCCGCCGGAAAUAAAUAGGUCGAAGUUGGAAGCUUUGGGAGGGUCGUCAGCUCGAGUACUGACAUCGUUGAGGACUAAACCGGUGGACUCAUUGGGCAGAUUGAGAGAAAGUCAUGGCAGUGGAGAAAGUGGAGAGAAUGAUAUAUAAGGAUUAACUUGGCUGUUCUUAACCGGGGGGGAUGUUUUGCCCAUCACGCAACAUUUGGUGACGUCUGGAGACGUUUUUGAUUUUUGUAGCUGUGGAGGUGCUGCUGGCUCUGGUGGGUAGAGGCCGGGGGGUGCUGCUUCAACACCCUAAAACGCAUAGGGCAGCCCCUCAUGAAGAAUGAUCCAAUCCAAGAUGUCAGUACAGUGAUUCAAUCCGAGGUUGAGAUGCCCUGGAUUGUUUUCUCCUCCCUUCCAUUCUGCUCUGUAGAAUUCUGCACAUCUGUUCGUUCUUUUGUUCGGUGAUCAUUUAUGGAGCUCCACCAAUGUGCCAGGCACCGUGCUAGAUAGGCAUUAGGGACAUCAAGAUUGGUUAGACAUCACCUCCUUUUUAAAGUUUAUUUCAAAUUAUAAAUUAAUACACGGAUAUAUUCUUAUAAGUAAAAAAAAAAUCAGGAACAAACACGUAAAGCCAGUGGUGACUUUGACUACCACCUUCAGUCUCUGUUCCUUCUCCAGAGGUACCCAGAGCUGUUAGUUUGGUAUGUGUAGUCGAUUAUUAGGUCACUUCCCCUGCAUCCAUUUUCUUUCCUUGUCUUAUAUGCCAUGCCAAGAAGUUUACUUUCGAACGUUUGUACUAGGCUGCACCUUUCUUAAGAUGGGGACCAGGUGUUAGGUUUCUCUUUUUGACUUCUCAUUAUAAUAUAUGUGGUAUGUAAAAAUAUACAUAAAUAUAAAUAUAAAUAUAAAUAUAAAUAUAAAUAUAAAUAUAAAUAUAAAUGUAAAUAUAUAUAUGUGGUAUACAAUAAAUGAUGAGUAAAGAAUGAAAUGAAUUGAUAGAAAAGCAGCAGUGGGGAGAGCAAAGAGAAUGCCAAGUCCUAGUAAUGGCCUUUCAUAGGCUUUGGAAGGCUGUGGGGUAUGUUUAUGGGGAAAAUGAAUUUAUGUUAGGAUAUAGAAAUACUGAAAGAGUGAGGAAAAAUUCAAAGCUGUACAGGUAUGAAAGGGUUUGCUGGGGGCCCAGGUGCUGAGCUGCUACAUAGGCAAAGGGGUUGAGAAGGACCAGAGAGCUUCGUUGUAUAGGGUUCAAGGGUCAAGGAGGGGUAGUAGGGCACCGGUCUUCUGAAGGUUAUUGCAAGUUAGCAGUGAAGAAGAACUUCCCAGUGUAGGAGCUUUUCAUAGAACCGGAAGAGUCCAGAAGUUCCUUUUGGAGUGUGAUGUGAUAGAAGCCUUCGUAGUUCUGUUACGUUCUAAAGGAAUUCUGCUUGUGCACGUGCUUAGAGAUACAUACCUCUUUAUAUACCUAAAGGCCCUUCUUUGUUUUUCACUGAACAGAAUGUCUUCGGGAACAUUUUGUCUCAGUUUAUGCAGAUCAACCUCAUUCUUUUGAAAUGACCACAUAGUAUUCCAUAGAAAGUUUUUUUUUUUUUUUUUUUUUUUAAAUCAUGAUUUGUUUAAACAUUCCUAUUGCUAGACAUUUAGGUUGUUCUCAGCGUUCUGCUACUAUAAGUGGUGCUGCUUGUGGCUGUGUCCUUGUGCACGUAGGUAAGUCCGUGAGGAUAGAUUCUGAGAAGUGGCAUUGUCGGUUUCUACGGGCAUGGACAUUGACAUUUUUGAUAGGUAUUGCCAGGCAGCCUCCAAAAUUGUACACUGCCGUGAACAGCAAAGAUGCGAUUCGUGAGUAUAAGAUGACUUUUUCCUGUCGUUUUGGCAAAUGUGUUUCCAUGCUUUGAUUUUUAACAGUCUAAGUGAGAAACGGUACCUUGGUCUUUUGUAUUUUUGUAAUAUAAAGUGAUCUUUUUUUUUUUCAUAUGUCUAAAAUUCAUUUGUAUUCUUUGUCAUCAACUCAGGUUUGAAACAGGUUUUGUUUUUUUUUAAUUGGCAAGAACUUUUAUAAAUUAAGGAAAUUAGCUCUGUCAUUCAUGUUGCAAAAAUUUCCCCGACAGUUUGUCAUUUGUCCUUUGAAUUUAUUUAUAGCAUAGAAGGAUGUGUAUGUGUUUGUAUAUAUUUUGGAAUAUAACUGAGUAUAUAAGGAAUUAAUUUCAAGUUUUUGGAUCUUGGGUUUUUUUUUUUUUUUUUGGUCUUGUUUUUUUCUGGGAAAGACCGUCUCCACUCGGAGAUUUAAAAAUAACUUUCUGUGCUUUCUUUUAGUACUUUAAUUGGAAAAACCUGGAUUUUAGUUUCAUUUCUGUCGUCUGUUGGUUUUGUGACAUUGGGCAAGUUGAGUAAUCUCUCAGAGCCUCAAUUUCCUAAACUGGAAGGAUUAGAGCAGAUGAUUUGUACCAUUGUAAGGAACUUUCAAUUAUAAAAUGUCUUGUUUGCUUUUCAGUGAAAUUUGCUUUUGUUUUGUGCGGGGACCUGAAGUUGGGGGCAGGGUCAGGGAAGGAGGUAAAGAGACAUGGAAGGAAGACAGACACAUGCACAGAGGGCGGAGACAGAAACCAGGACUGUGAACAAAAUCCAAAACCGCCCCAGAGAAGAUGGAGGGAAAACAAAGGAAAACAGACACAAGGAAGGUAGAUACUGAGACCCCAAGUGGGAAUCAUUUUUCAUAUCAUAGGAGGUAAAACACAUGUUGGGUCCCUUUGUUCAUUCCCUCUCCCUCUUUUCCUCCCCCCCCCUUCCCUCCCUCCGUUUUCCUUCCUUCUUAGAAUAAAAAAGUUAAGUGUAAUACAGAGGUUGUGAAUUAGCACAGAUUGUCAAGUGCAAAAGUUAAAGCUUCAGAGUCUUCCUCAGUGUGUAUGUACAUAGUACUUAAAGCCAAGUGCUUUGAACUCCUCGGACACAGUGUGUUGGAAUUGUUAUUACAAUAUUGAUUUAUCUAUUGCCUGGCAGUCCCUUUCCAGGUUUAAAAUUCUGUGUUUGAAUGUAGUGUACAUGUUUUAGUAUUUCUGUAAGAACUGUAUCUUCUGCAUUUCCUGCUUUUGGAUAUUAAAUCUGUAAAGUUAAUGAUGGCUUCCUACGUGUUUUGUAUUUUCACGUCUAAGACUGAAGUUCUCCCCAUAGAUUAUGCCUUUAAGAAGCCUAGCUUCAGUCUUUGGACACCUGUCUUCCGUGAAAAUUUGGGCUGAGAUAUUCCACUGCUUCCCUGUUAGUCUCCCUGUCUGCUAAGCAUGGGUAAUAGUACUCAUCCAGCAAUGUGUAGUUAAUGAAAAUUCUUACGUGACCAGACCCUCUAAAGUCUAAUGUUCAGUUAUUUCCAUUGCUUAUUAAAAAAUUUUUUUUAAGUAUUUAUUUAUUUUUGAAACAGAGAGAGCACAAGUGGGGGUGGGGCAGAGAGAGAGGGAGACACAGAAUCCGAAGCAGGCUCUGAACUGUCAGCACAGAUCCCGACGUGGGGCUCGAACCUGAGAACCAUGAGAUCAUGACCUGAGCCAAAGUCAGAUGCUCAACCGACUGAGCCACCCAGGUACCCCAUCCAUUGCUUAUUUUUUAAAAGUCAAUUUGUAUAUUGUCCUUAGACCCCAAUUUAUGAUUCUUUCUUGUUGCCUGGUUUGGGGGGAAAAAAAACCUUAAAGAAAAUUGUAUGCUUACCACCUUGGCCAUAUGUGAAUUGAAUACACUCUGACCUUUUAGCUGGUGGUAAUUUCCUCUCACAAACUCUUUGUUGCCUUUUUAACCUCACGGACCCCCUGCCCCUCCGAAUGGGCCUGGGACAUUAUUAUCUGCUGGCUUCCCCAAGUUGCCCUUCAAAACAGACGGCCGGACUUCUUGAAAUCCUUGCUGGUUAUCAUGGCAGCGGCUGCCACUGUGGGCUGAUUGGAAAGGAAGUCAUUGCGGUUGUCAGAAACACGGUCUGGAGGAGACGGGGCUGAAAGUGCAAGUACGUGGCUUUGGCUUAAUGGCUCCAAGACUGGCUGUUGUGAGCAGUUGCCGGGGCCUCGGAUGUCCUCUUGUCCUAAGACUUGAUAAAAACUUUCUCCUCCACUUCUGGAGGAUGGCUUCCUUUGGAGAGACUCAACCUUUGCUGCUUCCUCACCGUGCGCAUUUUAGAUGCAGUCCCUCGUCUCAUCCCUGCCCUCCUUUUACCUAAAGUAAAACCUAACCGAGAGGUGGUGUUUGAGGUUUCACUCUGCGUGCGGCAGUGUGGGCAGGAAGAGGAAGGUCCAGGGGGUGACCUGCGAAGGCCUUUGAUUUGGUUGGGUCGAUGGCGUAUAAACUGAGUUAAGUAACAGUCUAAGUUGAUGAGGUAAAACAUAGUAAAGGGUCAUAAACCUUGCUAAUUCGCUGGUGAGAAAGAUCGUAUUUAGUACAGGAGUGCCCACAGUUGUUUUGCUGGGUUUGCUGGGCACUUGGUGGAAAGGUGAGACAUAAAAGGUGAAAAAAUAAAAGGGAUCCAGAACGUAAGCUCUGGCGAUUGAAAAAGUUUUUAUGUGUGACUUUUACAAGUUGUCAUUAAUUAUUGUAAUCAUAAGCCUGGGAGGCUAAGGGAAACUUUCCUCCGGCCGUGGAAGCUGACUCAGACUUUCCUCUGGGCUCCCUCCCCAUCUCAGGAUCUCCUGCCUCUGGCUUUGGAAAUAAGUUGCAGGAGGUCCUGUGUGUGAUGUAAUAUAGCAAAUACUUAAAUUCCGUGUCAGAAAUAACUAAAGUUCUGCAUUGGAAAACAGCACUGGAGAGAAGGGAGUGAAUGGAGAGAUGUUGAAUCUUGGUCUCUCGUGGAACAGCGUCACUGAUGGCAGGUGUCGCACCGUGCGGAGUCCUCGUGUAGGAAGGUUACCUGCUGUCACGCUGCUCAUUUUAGGACAUUCAGCGGGACCAGGCGUCAGCCACCUUUUUCCUUCAGGACCUCAAGACUGAUGUGUGAAGACGGACACAGUUUCGGCCAGUAGGAAAGUGGAGUAGGAAUCUGCAGGCUGGUCGCCUUCUGAUCAUGCCGAGAAACACCCUUCUGGCCUGUCGUCCUGUUUCCAUAAGAGACAGUGUUACGGCGUCAUCGUCGUCGUCGUCAUCAUCAUCAUCAUCAUGCGUGGAAUGGGAGUGGAGCUCCUCUUGCCCUGGGACUAUGUCUGUGCUACAUUUCAGCAGCCUCCUGUUUCCUGGUGAUUUUUUUUUUUUGAAGAGUUCUGUUCAAGUCAGAGGUGUCUGCCUUUCCAGCUACUCUUUAAUAGUUUCUUCCUUACUUGGGGUGGGGGGGUUCCCGUUAGCUCACGCCGCGGGAGACACACGGUGGGAGAGGGAUCCCACCCCGGGUAAUCGUCUCUGGGGGGCUUCAGUGGUGAGCCCGUGGUUGCUGCCUUCACUGGGAGAAGAACUUUUAAGUAAGAAGGGAGAAGAAACUUCUUGUUCGGGCGGCAAAAUGAAAACCAGCUUUUCUGAGGCCAGAUUGGGAUCGUGUGUAAUCAACUAUGAAUUCAUCCUCUUUUUCCUCCCCUCCCCGCCCCCCUGUUUGCAGUUGAUCUCACGACAGCUGUUUCCAGCUGUCCUCUGGAUUUUGCCCAGGCCCCUUGGGAUGGAUGGCUGCAUGACUCACACGACUGGCUUGUUUCCACAGCGGUUCACAUCUAGCUUCUCAAGAAGUAGGAGCGAGAGGAGAGAGAGGGGGACUCUGGUGGCCCCGGAGUAGAUGUUCCUGUGGAGAUUACGGUCGGCUGACCGCUCUGGUUUCGAUUGGUCCCCCUUCACGGCAGCGAGCUGAGAAGAGGACAUUGCUGGGGGAGGGGAGGCCAGUGUGUUAGCUGGAGAAGUGGUUUUGGAGAAAGCCAGAUGUUUUUGUUUUGUUUUGUUUUGAUUUUUUUCCUUUUUUUUUAUUAAUUUUUUUUUUUUAAAUUUACAUCCAAAUUAGCAUCUAGUGCAACAGUGAUUUCAGGAGUCGAUUCCUUAGUGCCCCUUCCCCAUGUAGCCCCUCCCCCCUCCCAGCACCCCUGCGGUAACCCUGUGUUUGUUCUCCGUGUUUAAGAGUCUCUUCUGUGUUGUCCCCUUCCCUGUUUUUAUAUUAUUUUUGUUUCCCUUCUCUUACGUUCAUCUGUUUUGUCUCUUAAAGUCCCCAUAGGAGUGAAGUCAUACGGUAUUUGUCUUUCUCUGACUAAUUUCACUUAGCAUAAUACCCUCCAGUCCCAUCCACGUAGUUGCAAAUGGCAAGAUUUCAUUCUUUCGGAUUGCCGAGUAAUACCCCAUUGUCUCUAUAUACCACAUCUUCUUUAUCCAUUCAUCCAUCCAUGGACGUUUGAAGCCAAAUGUUCUUUUACUUUUUUUUCUUUUUCCCCUUCCAGAUCUGCUUCAGAGCAAACUGCAACUUUCCUUUUCAGUGGGACGUAGGGCUGUGUGUGAGAUGGGUGGCUGAGUGAGAGCUGAGGGAAGUGUCGGCUAAAAAUGCAGGUGAUGCCAGGGGUGCCUGGGUGGCUCAGUCGGUUAAGCGUCUUGGGUCAUGAUCUCACGGUUUGUGAGUUUGAGCCCCUCGUUGGGCUCUGUGCUGACAGCUCAGAGCCUGGAGCCUGUUCGGAUUCUGGGUCUUCAUCUGUCUCUGCCCCUCCCCUGCUCGCUCGUGUGUGCUCUCUCUCUCUCUCUCUCUUUCAAAAGUAAAUAAACAUUAAAAAAAUAAAAAAAAAAAAUUUAGGUGAUGUUCUCCGUACUCCAGCUGAUUCUUGGUAGGAGGUGUGUUCCUUUCUCUUCAAAGCGGUCCCUCCCUUUCCCAACAGUAAGCACUGUCCUUGCCCCCCCUCCUUCCUUCCAUGAAGGCCACUCCUUCCCAGCGUGGGAACCUAUACAGUGAUACAGCUCGGUAAAGAAAAUUUUAAAAAUUCUUUAGGUAUUUGAAAAAUUCUUCACUUUGAUCUCUUUGAGCUCGACACUCACAUUUCUUAAAGGGUAGCAAGCUGCAGAAAAAAAUUCUCUAGACCUGCUCUGAUACAGGAGCCAUUAGCCACUUGUGGCUGUUGUGGUCUUGAAACAUGGCUCGUCCAAACUGAGAUGCUCUGUGAGUGUAAAACACUAGAUUUUAUUUGCUUAUUGUUUAUGUAUUUGUGUAUUUAUUUAUUAAAGUUUAUUUGUUUUGAGAGAGACAGAAGCAUUGCAAGCGGGGAAGGGGCAGAGAGAGGGAGAGAGAGAAUCCCAAGCAGGCACCUGACGUGAGACUCGAACUCACGAAACCGUGAGAUCAUGCCUGAACCGAAGGCAAGAGUCGGACGCUCAACCAACGGAGCCGCCCAGGCACCCCCUCAAAUACCCACUAGAUUUUAAAGACCAGUGCAAAAAAAUUUCAUUGAAAAUUUACAAAUCAUUGACUAUUGUUGAAAUAUUGACAUGUUGAAACGCUAAUAUUUUGGAUGUGUUGGAUUCCCUAAAUUAUAUUAAAAUUUACCACACCUGGUUUCUUUUUUAAAUGCUGUUAACUAGAAAAUUUUAAGUAAAUGGCCCAUAUUUCUUGCUGUCAUUAUAUUUCUGCUCUAAACAGAAGUUACUGAACAACUGGUGUGCUCCUCUCUGGUAGUGUCCGUUUUCCAGAAGCCAAGUGAUAGUUUGGGACUCACAAGCUGAUGUACUACAACAUGCCCUCUGUAAUAGUUGUCUUUUGCCCCAGAACAUAUUACCCCUACACUUACUGACUUGAAACAACACACCUUUAUUAUGUCACAGUUUCUGGGGGUCGUAAAUCUGAGAGCAACUAAGCUGUGCGGUUCAGGCUUAGGAUCCCUCAUGAAGUUUCAGUCAGGCAGUUGCUGGUGUCGCACUCAUCUGAAGUCUGAACCGGGGCCGGAGGAUUCCAAGAUGGUUCGUUUCACGGCUCUUGGCAUGUUGUCAGUUCCCCGCUGGCUUUAGUUCCUUCCAACACGGACUUCUCCUUAGGCUUCUUGAGUGUCUUCCCUACCUUAUGUUGACCUCCCCCCUAGAGUGAGUGAUCAAGUGAGAGAUCGAGUAAGGGAGAGAGCAGGUGAAGGGGGGAGUUACAGUGCUUUUAAUGACCUAGUGCCUGCAGGAUACGUUAUCAUUUCUGCUUUAUUUUAUUUGUUAGAAGCAAGUGUCUGAGUCUAAUUCCUCCUCUCCAGUUUUUAAAUUUAUUUUUAUUUUUAUUUUAUUUUAUUUUUUUUUAGGCUUCACUUCUUGAAGGGAGUAGUAUAUAGUACAUAGGAAUUUGUGGACAUAUUUUGAAACUGCUACACUUUCUGUUUGUCUGCUGUUUUCCCCUGCUAGUGUACCUGGGUUUCACUGACCGCCUCUGAAAAUGGUCGGAGUUCAGUGGCUGAAGUCCAUUUUACCCUCACCUGCUACCUCAGCAGUGUUGCUUGGAACAGUUUUACCCAUUUUGAGACUGCCAACUCUGACCUGUGAUCAAAAUUGUCUUCUUUUGGUCGGGCAACGGGGAGGCCAGGAUGAAUUCAGCUUUGCGUGAGCCUUGAAUACUGGUGUGUGCCUCAGUUGAUUUUUAGUAGCUGAAUAAGGCUGGAUAUUCCAUGGUAAAUGUGUUGUUAUUAUGUGGAUAUUAUAUUUCUCUUAAUUAAGAUUCAGAGCACUCAGGAACCAUUCUGUAUCUCAUUCUGCCUCUGGGAGGUUUGAAAGUAAAGCAGGGCCUCAUUCUGUUUUCUGCUCCAAGUGGGGACAUGGAGGUGAGUUCACUGGUGCAGGAGGCUGAGUGAAGGUGUUGUGAGGGGUGGAGAGGUAUGUCUGGCAGAGACAUAAAUGGUGCGCUCCGGUAGCUUAAACCGGAACGUGGGAGCAAAGGUACUGUUAAAUAAGAGUGUGUAAAUAACACGCUGCCGAGUUUCCCAAGAUGGACUCAUCCAUGCCUCCCCUCCCUAUAGCUGUUUUAGUUUUGGCUCAGCCUCACACUUCUGGAGUGUAGACUGACACAGGAGGCAAGACCUACAGGGUAAGUGGCCCAGUGGACGUAAUAAGGGAGGGUCAGUUUUUGUCUGGCCUCCAUCAAAAUGGGGCUUUAGUACAAGGAAACGAGGUAUGUAUGGGAAAGUGGUUGGGUCAGAAUAGGGCUCAAGAUUCAGGACAGCAGGGAUUCAUUUAAAACCACUUGACUUCAGUUUUUUUCUGAUGGCUUGGUAUGAUUUACUCAGGUCCUUCCUAGGGAAUCGAGCGUGAUCUUUUCCAUUUGAGAAGUCUGAAGGCGUAGAUGAAUGGGUUGUAUUAGAAAGUUUGUUGCCUUGGACAGAAAAUCAAAAAUCUGUGGAGUCUGGCUGUCUUCUCAAUCCUUGUUAUCAUUAUCAUAAUCUUGGUACUUAAGUUUAAUUUUGAAUAGUUGCUUUCCUUUGUGUGUGUGUGUGUGUGGGGGGGGGCGGUUUAUCUCUUGUCUCUGUAACCAGGCUUCGUUUUCUUCGCUUUCAUGCUUUUUAUUUCUUUGUGUUCUAAUAAUAACGUCUGCAUUGUAUAUUCAAGAGGAUAUGAACUCAGGCAUGGUGGCGGGACCCACUGGGGCUGGGAGAGGCAUAGAGCGCAGUGGUUGAGAGUUCGGGGUUUAGAGUCCUACCGGCUCUGCUUCUUAGUACAUUGAUAACCUCGGACAAGUUUUCUUAAUUUCUCUGAGGCUAAGUUCCUUCAUCUGUAAAAUGUUAAUGAUAGUUGUUGCCUCAUAGACUUGUGAAAACUAAUGAGAUAUUACAAGUAAGGCAGUUAGCACAGGAGCAGCUACAUAAGUUAGAUUUGUAAAAGUGUAAUUGUCUAGCUUAUUAAUGCUUUUUAUUAGAGGCAUCCAAGUUCUUGAAUCUUGAGCCUCUCAUUACUUAUUUGACGUUAUUUAUUGGUUCACCAGUCACUGAUACCAGAAGCCUAAACCGGGUGUGUGUUCUGAUCAGUGUGAAUCGGUCCACAUCCUGACUGACUCUGCUCAGAGAGUGUUCUUGUCUGCCGGGCAAAAUAGGUGUUCUGGCUUUUUCCUUGCAGGGCCCAAGGGCGCCCCCUCUCUCGAGAGACCAGAGGCUGCCGUUGUUUUCUGUACGGUAGAGCCUGAUUUGGCCUGCAGUUAAGGCUCUCCAGAAGGUCACUUAAACCCGGCUGAUGUGAACUCCUCGCAAAAUGCCCAAGUCCUUCUGCAGCCGUCCAGUUUUCUAUUAAGAAACUACUGGGACUGUUUUUUUUUUAAAGAAACUGCAGCAGGCAAACCAAUCAUUCCUUUCAACUCUGCACUCCUUGGUCAGCAUCCAGGAUGUAAGCAGCUCUGGCCAUCUGUAUAUUCCUGUGACCUCGGGCCUGACUGUGAUUUUUCUCUCCUGACCUGACCUUCCGGCGGCUCCUCCCCUCAUAGACUCUCCCGUUUUUCCUGUUGCAUUCGUAAACAGUCCUCCCCAUCCUCAGCCUUUUCACGGACUCUUACAUCUACUCUUUCCUCUUAACUAAAUCCCAUUUCUUUCCGAGAA
Long non-coding RNA from Leopardus geoffroyi (Geoffroy's cat), 26446 nucleotides. RefSeq lists it as uncharacterized. The transcript is spliced from 2 exons. The record is from RefSeq and is a predicted model, not a curated record. Lineage: Eukaryota; Metazoa; Chordata; Mammalia; Carnivora; Felidae.